UUUAGAGUAAGUUUGUUGUGCUAUCCAAAGACUUGUUAUAAGGUUGGUAUGAAUUGUCUUAAUGCAUAUUGAUACUUAUGACAUAUUUGAUGGUGUUGUCUUGUUGUACUAUUCACAAAGAUAGCAUUUUUCAAGUAUGACUAUAUAAAAAUGGAAGAUCUGACGUAAUUAAAAUAUUAUAGCUUGUUAUACUAUCCAUAAGAUUAUAAGUGUUUUAGAGGUAAAAGUAUUAUUGAGAAUUAUAUAAGAUACAAUUUAAAAGAAGUUUCUUACUCUUGAACUCAUGAAAAUUUAUUGUGCUAUCC
RNAcentral lists this long non-coding RNA (305 nucleotides) under Elaeis guineensis (African oil palm). RNAcentral's name for it is "long non-coding RNA (EGUI_LNC034141)". Lineage: Eukaryota; Viridiplantae; Streptophyta; Magnoliopsida; Arecales; Arecaceae. The record is from RNAcentral.